CGAACUCAUGAGCCCUGACUCCAAAGCCCAUGCUCUUUCCACUGAGCCACGCUGCUUCUCGAGAAAGAGUCCUUCGAGCCGGAAUCGAACCAGCGACCUAAGGAUAUGCAGUAUGAGACAACUACAGUCCUCAGCUCUACCAGCUGUUCCACCCGUCACGGCCCUCUGGAGUUCUCCACAGCCACGAGGCUCUUGACCGUGCAGGUUUUGGCUGUCUGUGCGUGGCCCAUGACUUGUGGAGAGGAGCAUAAUGGGGAAUCUGGGCUGAGACCAAAACAGUGUGGGGCUUCUGGAAGGGCAACAGUUGUUCAUGGAAACUGCAUUAAGCAGAGGCAUGCCGACUCCCGGCCGGGACCACAUCGACAGCAGUGAGGUGUGAGAACUCAUUCUCCUGGAGACUGAAGUGUUUGGCAGCAGAUGAGGAUCUCCAAGGGCAGUACGGGGAAACCGGGAUGUUCAGGCUCACGGAUUCAAGGCCAGUUUCCUCAACCCCAGAUGGUUUUCAGCCAGGACUGGUGGAGAAGCUCCACUAACAGCUGCUCCUGGCACCCAGAGGAGGUCUGGGGGUGUCUCUCAAGAUUUUUCCAUUCCCUUGCCACCUCCAUGUGUUGCUGGUACAGACACGGAAAGGGGCCCAUAAUGCAUCCUUUGGGGUAGGGUGGCCAAGGAAGGAAUCUGACCAGCUAUUUCUCUCCAGAGAGAAUGCAUCAUCCUGGCCUUGGGUACCAACCCCUUUGCAGUGUGGGCACAGUCGAGUCAAUGCCCUGACUUGUCCCACCAGUGAGGGAUUGAACUGUGGGGACCAUGUUGCCACCACAAAGGAAAGGAGAUAUUGUGUGUCUGGAUGAGUGUGUGUGUGUGUGAGAGAGAGAGAGGGUGUAGUAGAGAAUAAUGGGGCUAGCAAAUGGGGAAGGAUAGUUAGGAGAAGGCUACCACUCUUGGUAUGGAGGCAGGUUAAGGAACUGGGCCUGGGGCUCUUUGCGGCGAACGGGUUUUGUCCGCCUUAAGGCCAGAGAAGAUCUGGGGCCCUUAAUUCUCGAGUUGGGUCCAAUUUCUCUUCACUCACCAUCGUGUUGGCAGGGUCAGCCAGUACACUCCAAGGCCCUGGAGAAAGCACCUGCCUAGCCUGUCGAGAAUCGGGCAGAGGACUGUCAGUGUAUCUACGCCAUUCUUCUCUGAAAAGCAGAGUUAGGAGAUGGAGUAUCAUUGGUGCGGACAGGGUGCGUGGAGUGCCAGCAUCGUACUCAAAACUGAGUUUGGUCCAGUUUGGGUUGUACCUGAAGUCCCUGGCGUACAAGCUCCUCCUGGACUAACAGCUUUGAAAGCGUCGAUUCUCCCAGAGAUGUAAGUAUGCGGCGAUGUAGCUGUGGUCCUCAGCCGUAGACGGAGGGCACGGUCAGGAACACAAACCUUCAACAUCACUAGCACGGCCAUCCUCCGCCGAGGUAACGUAACGACGUCGGCCGGGACCGGCGGACGAGCUCCGGUGAUAACUCGGACCGACGGUCCCGGGUCGCGUACCGUUUUGCCCGACGAGACCUCGGCGGAGCACCAUCAGACCCCUCAUGCCACGGAGGGCUGUGGUGGAGAAUCCAGGCACUAGGAACCCCUCAAGGAUCACCUAGCCACUUGGAGGCCCCCGGCUGUCGCGGAGACGUCUGCAUCCGGCGAUUCAGAGGCGGUUCUCGCCUGAGGACGGAGGGCAGGCCGAGCGAGGCAAACCUGGGGAUCACAGAUCGACGCGUUCCCGCCGAGGUUUCGGAUGCACGUCGGCCAGGACCGGCGGAGCGGCUCCGCUCGUCCCCCACCUUCGUCGGACCGAUGCUCCGGGGUCUGGUACCGUGUCGCCGGGAGAGGCCUCGGCGGCGGGUCCCCGGAGUCGCUUGUUCUAACGGCUCUGAUACGCGGUGGGAAAUUGCACGGCCUCAAGUCCCUGCCGUCCAUGGUUUGGGGUGGAAUGGGAGAGGGAAGACUCUGACUAGCGAUUACUUUCUCUACAGAGAGUACUGUACUCUCUUUACGGUCUCUAUCCAUUGCUAAAAUGUGCCCCUAGUUCUCCAUUCAAACUGC
Ornithorhynchus anatinus (platypus) is the source of this 2070-nucleotide long non-coding RNA. RefSeq lists it as uncharacterized. The record is from RefSeq and is a predicted model, not a curated record. NCBI's taxonomy places the organism in Eukaryota, Metazoa, Chordata, Mammalia, Monotremata, Ornithorhynchidae. The transcript has 7 exons.